RNAcentral lists this transfer RNA (74 nucleotides) under Prevotella sp. Its description in RNAcentral is "tRNA-Ala". It matches the Rfam family "tRNA". Rfam says of the family: Transfer RNA (tRNA) molecules are approximately 80 nucleotides in length. Their secondary structure includes four short double-helical elements and three loops (D, anti-codon, and T loops). Further hydrogen bonds mediate the characteristic L-shaped molecular structure. tRNAs have two regions of fundamental functional importance: the anti-codon, which is responsible for specific mRNA codon recognition, and the 3' end, to which the tRNAs corresponding amino acid is attached (by aminoacyl-tRNA synthetases). tRNAs cope with the degeneracy of the genetic code in two manners: having more than one tRNA (with a specific anti-codon) for a particular amino acid; and 'wobble' base-pairing, i.e. permitting non-standard base-pairing at the 3rd anti-codon position. The record is from RNAcentral. Lineage: Bacteria; Pseudomonadati; Bacteroidota; Bacteroidia; Bacteroidales; Prevotellaceae.
GGGCCAUUAAUUUAAUGGUAGAAUAGCUGCUUUGCAUGCAGUUUAUGAAGGUUCGAUUCCUUCAUGGUCCACCA